UGGGGAAUAUUGCACAAUGGGCGCAAGCCUGAUGCAGCCAUGCCGCGUGUAUGAAGAAGGCCUUCGGGUUGUAAAGCACUUUCAGCGAGGAGGAAGGUGUGAGCUUAAUACGCUCAUCAAUUGACGUUACUCGCAGAAGAAGCACCGGCUAACUCCGUGCCAGCAGCCGCGGUAAUACGGAGGGUGCAAGCGUUAAUCGGAAUUACUGGGCGUAAAGCGCACGCAGGCGGUUUGUUAAGUCAGAUGUGAAAUCCCCGGGCUCAACCUGGGAACUGCAUUUGAAACUGGCAAGCUAGAGUCUCGUAGAGGGGGGUAGAAUUCCAGGUGUAGCGGUGAAAUGCGUAGAGAUCUGGAGGAAUACCGGUGGCGAAGGNGGCCCCCUGGACGAAGACUGACGCUCAGGUGCGAAAGCGUGGGGCAGCAAACAGGAUUAGAUACCCUGGUAGUCCACGCUGUAAACGAUGUCGAUUUUGGAGGUUGUGCCCCUUGAGGCGUGGCUUCCGGAGCUAACGCGUUAAAUCGACCGCCU
This 529-nucleotide ribosomal RNA is filed under the name uncultured bacterium. RNAcentral's name for it is "partial 16S ribosomal RNA". It matches the Rfam family "Bacterial small subunit ribosomal RNA", at positions 355 to 874 of the family's 1533-position model. The record is from RNAcentral.